AUGUCAGCGAGCAGCACGCCGGUGGACGCCUCGGGCGAGCCGAUCCCAACGUCGUCGGUGCUGAUGGCGGCGUCCAAGCACAUCGCGGUGCGGUGCCGGCCGGAGAACGUGGCCUUCCUCAACUGCAAGAAGAAGGACCCCAACCCCGAGAAGUGCCUCGAGAAGGGCCGCCAGGUCACGCGCUGCGUCUUCAACCUGUUGAAAGAACUUCACCAAAAGUGCCCCAAGGAGAUGGAUGCGUAUGCUGGGUGCAUGUAUUACUACACGAAUGAAUUUGACUUCUGCCGCAAGGAGCAGGAAGCUUUCGAGGGUGCGUGCCCUAUUUCCGAGUAG
Molecule: ribosomal RNA, 333 nt
Filed under: Triticum aestivum (bread wheat)
Lineage: Eukaryota; Viridiplantae; Streptophyta; Magnoliopsida; Poales; Poaceae
Description: partial small subunit ribosomal RNA
Source: RNAcentral